AAAAACAGCACCAAAAAAAGUCAUGUCACCUUUCCUGACCAGUGAUGCAGCUUCCAUUCUACCACAUUCCAUUCAUCAAGAAUGUGAUGGUUGGAGCUGUUGUAGCUGUAUUACAACCAGGAGGAAAGACUUUGCUGACGUACUAAGGAUGGAAACUAAAAAAAGUUCUUUAGAUCAAGAGGAACUACUUGAAGAGCAGCACUCAACAAAUCUGCACAUCGACCUGGUUUAAAUGCUAAGAUCCUGCCCUUGUAGAUUCGAUGCCAUAAUGAUGAGACUUUCACAAGGUCAAGGGAGAAGGUCCUCCAUGCAUCACUGCUGUCAGAGAGAUUCCAGCUCCUCUCCAAUGCUCAUCAAAGAUAUGAGAGAGAUGAAUGCAUAUAACAGAAGGAGUGUGGAUAACAGAUACCUAAGAGAGAAUGAGAAUUGGAAAAGACCGACUGAACAGACAAGGGAGCUAAAUACAGGCAUGGUGGUGCAACUGUAGUCCUAAAUGCCAGGGAGGUUGAGACAAGAGGAUCACUUGAACCCAGGAAUUUGAGGUACAA
RNAcentral lists this long non-coding RNA (548 nucleotides) under Homo sapiens (human). RNAcentral's name for it is "HSALNT0376576". The record is from RNAcentral. Lineage: Eukaryota; Metazoa; Chordata; Mammalia; Primates; Hominidae.